CAUGCAGUCGAGCGGAACGAGUUAUCUGAACCUUCGGGGAACGAUAACGGCGUCGAGCGGCGGACGGGUGAGUAAUGCCUAGGAAAUUGCCCUGAUGUGGGGGAUAACCAUUGGAAACGAUGGCUAAUACCGCAUGAUGCCUACGGGCCAAAGAGGGGGACCUUCGGGCCUCUCGCGUCAGGAUAUGCCUAGGUGGGAUUAGCUAGUUGGUGAGGUAAGGGCUCACCAAGGCGACGAUCCCUAGCUGGUCUGAGAGGAUGAUCAGCCACACUGGAACUGAGACACGGUCCAGACUCCUACGGGAGGCAGCAGUGGGGAAUAUUGCACAAUGGGCGCAAGCCUGAUGCAGCCAUGCCGCGUGUGUGAAGAAGGCCUUCGGGUUGUAAAGCACUUUCAGUCGUGAGGAAGGURGUGUAGUUAAUAGCUGCAUCAUUUGACGUUAGCGACAGAAGAAGCACCGGCUAACUCCGUGCCAGCAGCCGCGGUAAUACGGAGGGUGCGAGCGUUAAUCGGAAUUACUGGGCGUAAAGCGCAUGCAGGUGGUUUGUUAAGUCAGAUGUGAAAGCCCGGGGCUCAACCUCGGAAUAGCAUUUGAAACUGGCAGACUAGAGUACUGUAGAGGGGGGUAGAAUUUCAGGUGUAGCGGUGAAAUGCGUAGAGAUCUGAAGGAAUACCGGUGGCGAAGGCGGCCCCCUGGACAGAUACUGACACUCAGAUGCGAAAGCGUGGGAGCAAACAGGAU
Molecule: ribosomal RNA, 742 nt
Filed under: Vibrio sp. H4DOP
Lineage: Bacteria; Pseudomonadati; Pseudomonadota; Gammaproteobacteria; Vibrionales; Vibrionaceae
Description: bacterial SSU rRNA
Rfam family: Bacterial small subunit ribosomal RNA
Source: RNAcentral